RNAcentral lists this ribosomal RNA (2159 nucleotides) under Plasmodium falciparum Santa Lucia. RNAcentral's name for it is "18S ribosomal RNA". It matches the Rfam family "Eukaryotic small subunit ribosomal RNA". The record is from RNAcentral. Lineage: Eukaryota; Apicomplexa; Aconoidasida; Haemosporida; Plasmodiidae.
ACCUGGUUGAUCUUGCCAGUAGUCAUAUGCUUGUCUCACAGAUUAAGCCAUGCAAGUGAAAGUACAUAUGUAAAUAAUAUAUUGAAACUGCGAACGGCUCAUUAAAACAGUUAUAAUCUACUUGAUGUUUUUAAUAUAAGGAUAACUACGGAAAAUCUGUAGCUAAUACUUGUGAAAAUACCUUUUGAUAUAUACAUAUAUAUAUAUAUGUAUGUAUCAUUAAGGUAUGUAUUUGUUAGAUAUAAGAAUAAAAUAAAUAUAAUUGAAUUAUAACAAAGAAGAAACACAUAAAAUAUGUGUAUUAUCAAUCGAGUAUCUGACCUAUCAGCUUUUGAUGUUAGGGUAUUGACCUAACAUGGCUAUGACGGGUAACGGGGAAUUAGAGUUCGAUUCCGGAGAGGGAGCCUGAGAAAUAGCUACCACAUCUAAGGAAGGCAGCAGGCGCGUAAAUUACCCAAUUCUAAAAAAGAGAGGUAGUGACAAGAAAUAACAAUACAAUAUCGAAAAAUGAUUUUGUAAUUGGAAUGAUAGGAAUUUACAAGGUUCCUAGAGAAACAAUUGGAGGGCAAGUCUGGUGCCAGCAGCCGCGGUAAUUCCAGCUCCAAUAGCAUAUAUUAAAAUUGUUGCAGUUAAAACGUUCGUAGUUGAAUAUUAAAGAAUCCGAUGUUUCAUUUAAACUGGUUUGGGAAAACCAAAUAUAUUAUAUAUUUUGCUUUGUUCAAAAUAAGGUUUUCUAAUAAAUUAUGUUUUUAUCAGAUAUGACAGAAUCUUUUUUAAAAUCUCUUCAAUAUGCUUUUAUUGCUUUUGAGAGGUUUUGUUACUUUGAGUAAAAUUAAGUGUUCAUAACAGACGGGUAGUCAUGAUUGAGUUCAUUGUGUUUGAAUACUACAGCAUGGAAUAACAAAUAUGAAUAAGCUAAUUAUUUUUUUUUUUCAUAAUUUUUUUUGAUAUUCUUAUUAGCUUAGUUACGAUUAAUAGGAGUAUCUUUGGGGGCAUUCGUAUUCAGAUGUCAGAGGUGAAAUUCUAAGAUUUUCUGGAGACGGACUACUGCGAAAGCAUUUGCCUAAUCUAUUUCCAUUAAUCAAGAACGAAAGUUAAGGGAGUGAAGACGAUCAGAUACCGUCGUAAUCUUAACCAUAAACUAUACCGACUAGGUGUUGGAUGAAUAUAAAAAAUAUAUAAAUAUGUAGCAUUUCUUAGGGAAUGUUGAUUUUAUAUUAGAAUUGCUUCCUUCAGUACCUUAUGAGAAAUCAAAGUCUUUGGGUUCUGGGGCGAGUAUUCGCGCAAGCGAGAAAGUUAAAAGAAUUGACGGAAGGGCACCACCAGGCGUGGAGCUUGCGGCUUAAUUUGACUCAACACGGGAAAACUCACUAGUUUAAGACAAGAGUAGGAUUGACAGAUUAAUAGCUCUUUCUUGAUUUCUUGGAUGGUGAUGCAUGGCCGUUUUUAGUUCGUGAAUAUGAUUUGUCUGGUUAAUUCCGAUAACGAACGAGAUCUUAACCUGCUAAUUAGCGGUAAGUACACUAUAUUUUUAUUUGAAAUUGAAUAUAGGUAAUUAUACAUGUUUAUUCAGUGUUCAAAUUAGGAUAUUUUUUUAUUAAAAUAUUCUUUUCCCUGUUCUACUAUAAUAAUUUGUUUUUUUUUACUCUAUUUCUCUCUUCUUUUAAGAAUGUACUUGUUUGAUUAAAUAAAGCUUCUUAGAGGAACAGUGUGUAUCUAACACAAGGAAGUUUAAGGCAACAACAGGUCUGUGAUGUCCUUAGAUAAACUAGGCUGCACGCGUGCUACAAUGAUAUAUAUAACAAGUUGUUAAAAAUGUACUUAUAAAUAAGUGUGUACAGUUUUUCCUGUACUGAAAAGUAUAGGUAAUCUUUAUCAGUAUAUAUCGUAAUUGGGAUAGAUUAUUGCAAUUAUUAAUCUUGAACGAGGAAUGCCUAGUAAGCAUGAUUCAUUAGAUUGUGCUGACUACGUCCCUGCCCUUUGUACACACCGCCCGUCGCUCCUACCGAUUGAAAGAUAUGAUGAAUUGUUUGGAUAUGAAUUAAAAUAAUGAAAUUUUAUAUUUCUGAUUUUUUCUAGAAGAACUGUAAAUCCUAUCUUUUAAAGGAAGGAGAAGUCGUAACAAGGUUUCCGUAGGUGAACCUGCGGAAGGAUCAUUA